This is a long non-coding RNA of Manduca sexta (tobacco hornworm), 764 nucleotides long. RefSeq lists it as uncharacterized. The transcript is spliced from 2 exons. The record is from RefSeq and is a predicted model, not a curated record. Lineage: Eukaryota; Metazoa; Arthropoda; Insecta; Lepidoptera; Sphingidae.
AAUGAUAACUGCUAAAUUCAUAAAAAUAAACAAAUAUUCUCUAUGUAGUCGUUGUGACAAGACAUCAUAAGUGAUAUAAAUUUAUAGACAGCUCGAUAAUUCAAAGCCUCAGUUCAAAGCAUUCAAAGUUUAAAACAUUUUAUUUACUUACAAGAAUUUUAUUUAUUGUUUGUAUAUACUAUUAUUACUUGACAUGGGCAAAAUCACUGAUGAUAAAAUGUAAUCGGAGGAAGCCAUAAUUAAAAGAAGAAAACUUUCUGAGAAAAUUUGAUAAAUAUGUUUAUACAACGAGUCCUCCCCGCGACUAACGAGAAUGCUGCCAACGCAAAGGAGUGGCAUUACCCAACGGUUGUAAAGAUGGAACAAGAAUAAAAUACUUACUGACUAAUAUUGAGUUAAGAUUGUCAGGAAUAAAGAAAACAUUACUAGAAAUAGUACAUUUAUUAUAAAAAAAAACCAACAAGCUAGUUGAAUUUGUGCUCUUUCUAUUCCCAACAAUGAUAUCAAAUUAAUGUUGGUCAAUAAUUUGUUUUUCUUUGAAGUUAUUAUAAUAAUAAAUUAUAUGUUUAUUUUGUUGUUAACUGAUAGGUAACUACUGGCUAUAAUAUGUCUUAAUUAUUAUAAUGAUAAGUGAAAUAGGUUUAUAGAAGCCAUUCCUAUGUCCAUGUUUGUUCCAAAUCAAUGCUAAAAAAUAGGUAUAAAUUGUUUUUGUUUAUUUUUCGUUUAAUAUAUAAAAUAUUAAUAAAAAUAUCAUCUUAUUGUUA